Molecule: unclassified non-coding RNA, 293 nt
Filed under: plant metagenome
Description: partial contains small subunit ribosomal RNA, internal transcribed spacer 1, and 5.8S ribosomal RNA
Rfam family: Eukaryotic small subunit ribosomal RNA (bases 1-53)
Source: RNAcentral
GGAAGUAAAAGUCUAACAAGGUUUCCGUAGGUGAACCUGCGGAAGGAUCAUUAAUGAGUUGUCAUGGGGUUCGAUGCUGGCAGCCAGUUUUUGGAUGCAUGUGCUUGCCCUAACAAUCAUCUUCUUCCAAACACCUGUGCACAUUUUUGAGGGAGUCUUGAGUUGGUUGCCGCUCUUGGGUGAUUUUCUCACAUUCCCUUAAAUCAUUAUACGCUAUUAACAAUGUUGAACGUGCUCUGUGCCGCAAGGCCAUUAAUAUAAUACAACUUUUAACAACGGAUCUCUUGGCUCUC